Molecule: ribosomal RNA, 497 nt
Filed under: uncultured bacterium
Lineage: Bacteria
Description: partial 16S ribosomal RNA
Rfam family: Bacterial small subunit ribosomal RNA
Source: RNAcentral
GAUGAACGCUGGCGGCGUGCCUAAUACAUGCAAGUCGAGCGAACAGACGAGGAGCUUGCUCCUCUGACGUUAGCGGCGGACGGGUGAGUAACACGUGGAUAACCUCCCUAUCAGACUGGGAUAACUUCGGGAAACCGGAGCUAAUACCGGAUAAUAUAUUGAACCGCAUGGUUCAAUAGUGAAAGACGGUUUUGCUGUCACUUAUAGAUGGAUCCGUGCCGCAUUAGCUAGUUGGUAAGGUAACGGCUUACCAAGGCAACGAUGCGUAGCCGACCUGAGAGGGUGAUCGGCCACACUGGAACUGAGACACGGUCCAGACUCCUACGGGAGGCAGCAGUAGGGAAUCUUCCGCAAUGGGCGAAAGCUUGACGGAGCAACGCCGCGUGAGUGAUGAAGGUCUUCGGAUCGUAAAACUCUGUUAUUAGUGAAGAACAAAUGUGUAAUUAACUAUGCACGUCUUGACGGUACCUAAUCAGAAAGCCACGGCUAACUACGUG